CCCUUAGAUGUCCUGGGCCGCACGCGCGCUACACUGAGUGUCUGAGAUACGAGUCUGCCUGGUCCGGCAAGGUCUAGGUAAUCGCUAAAAGACACAUCAUGCUUGGGAUAGAUUAUUGCAAAUAUUAAUCUUGAACGAGGAAUUCCUAGUAAGCGCAAGUCAACAGCUUGCGUUGAUUACGUCCCUGCCCUUUGUACACACCGCCCGUCGCACCUACCGAUUGGAUGGUCCGGUGAAGCCUCGGGAUUGUGGUUCUUGCCGCUUUAUUGUGGCGUGACCGCGAGAACUUGUCUAAACCUUAUCAUCUAGAGGAAGGUGAAGUCGUAACA
This 329-nucleotide ribosomal RNA is filed under the name uncultured eukaryote. RNAcentral's name for it is "partial 18S ribosomal RNA". It matches the Rfam family "Eukaryotic small subunit ribosomal RNA", at positions 1470 to 1796 of the family's 1831-position model. The record is from RNAcentral.